CCUACGGGAGGCAGCAGUCGGGAAUAUUGGACAAUGGAGGAAACUCUGAUCCAGCAAUGCCGCGUGUGUGAUGAAGGCCCUAGGGUUGUAAAGCACUUUCAACGGUGAAGAUGUUGACGGUAGCCGUAGAAGAAGCCCCGGCUAACUUCGUGCCAGCAGCCGCGGUAAUACGAAGGGGGCGAGCGUUGUUCGGAAUUAUUGGGCGUAAAGGGCGCGCAGGCGGUUUGGAUAGUUAGACGUGAAAGCCCUGGGCUUAACCUAGGAACUGCGUUUAAUACUGCCAAACUAGAGAACUAGAGAGGA
RNAcentral lists this ribosomal RNA (303 nucleotides) under uncultured bacterium. RNAcentral describes it as "bacterial SSU rRNA". It matches the Rfam family "Bacterial small subunit ribosomal RNA", at positions 338 to 658 of the family's 1533-position model. The record is from RNAcentral.